Long non-coding RNA from Drosophila innubila, 1507 nucleotides. RefSeq lists it as uncharacterized. The transcript is spliced from 2 exons. The record is from RefSeq and is a predicted model, not a curated record. Lineage: Eukaryota; Metazoa; Arthropoda; Insecta; Diptera; Drosophilidae.
UGUUGUGUAGUGUAUGUGCAGUGAAAGAUGAAAAUCGGCAACACUUUCAAAACGCUGCAAUUUGCGGCGCCACAACAAAAAUCAGUGAAAGUGAAAAAUCUACUCAAGUGACAAUUUAACUUUUUGUUGUACCACAAUUUGUUGUACUUGUUGUUGGUUAUCUCUCUUUAUGCUUUAUAGUUUAUGGCCUUUUUUUUCAGCAUUUUGUCACUGUGUAAACACAAAUAUUUGUGCAGUUGCUCAAGUUUUUUGUGUCCCCCAAAUAAGUUUCCAAUUGUCUUUUGACAAUUGUACAAAAAGAAAUUUCCAAUUUAUUUGUUGGCGAUAUUUGAUAGAAGGGGAGAGGGCGGGGGUCUAAGAGAAAUACAUGUAAAGUCAGCUGCGCAAUUAAUGCGUGCAUUCUGAAUUGAUUCGUAACGCAUUUACAGUAUUCAUAUUCAUUCAUAUCAGUUGAGUUCUAUUCGCUUAUUAUUCAUUCUCAAGUUCUUGAAUAACUCGCUGAGCUUAUGUAAAUUUUUAAACAUCUUGAAACUAUGCCAAACAAGGUCAUGACAGAUAGUUAAUUUAACUUAAAGUUUGUUAACUUUUUGUUUUAGUUAGACAUCUUGUUAGUUUUAUAAAUCAACACAGCGAGAUGAGUUUUUGGAGAUUUCUUUAGUUUACGAUUACAGUUGUUUAUGGCAGAUGUUUAAUCGCAGUUUAAAGUACCCUUAAGAUAUUACAAAGGGUUAGAUACCCUGUAAUCAACUUGGAAUUACAUAAAGAAGUGAAAAGUGAAGGUUGAGAUAUUCGUAUUAAGCUUAAAAAGUAUUGUGAAUAUCAUAAUAUUCUUAAAUUGUCAAUAGCAUCCUCCCUUUAAAGGUUUUACCCCAUAACUUUUCUACAGAAGCAUCCAUAUUGUGCUUGAUCUAUUCAUAUAUUUGCCACAAUUUAAUAUCUUACCCCUCAGCACAUUAAAUGCUUUACAAAUAGAAUCAUCUAACGAGUAUUUAAAUUACACUUUUUAUUUCCCGGGAUUGAGAUAAAAAACCACUAAAAGCAAUAAGUCAAUUAGCACUUGCUGUCAGCUUGGUCACCCACUCAGGCCACUCUAACCACUCCCGAUGUUGCAACACUUUGUCUCAAUUGGGUGGCUCUCAUUUAGCUAUCAGUUGAAACCUAACGAGCAUUAACUUCAAUUGCGGCUCAUUUUCGAUACAAUGGAGAAAUGUUAAUUCAAUUUUCAAAUUGUAAACGAGCACUCUCACACAUUAUUCUCUCUUUCCUUUGCUCUCUUCUCCUAUCUCCAUCUCUAUCUUCACUUGGACUGGGGUUGGGGUUAUCUCUGAUCUAUCUGGUUAGCGAGGCGUGCGAUCAACAACAUUCAUCACACAGACGGAGACAGAGACAGAGACAGUGUCAGCUAACGUUGUUUAUUUGCAAACCAAUUGGCAUGCACAACUCGAGCUAUAACUAUAACUAAAGCUACGGCUACAGUUAGAGAUACAGAUACAGAUACAAAUACAGA